UGGGGAAUCUUCCGCAAUGGACGAAAGUCUGACGGAGCAACGCCGCGUGAGUGAAGACGGCCUUCGGGUUGUAAAGCUCUGUUAUUCGGGAAGAACGAUUCGUUUGUGAACAAUGAACGGAAGUGACGGUACCGAAAGAGAAAGCCACGGCUAACUACGUUCCAGCAGACGCGGUAAUACGUAGGUGGCAAGCGUUGUCCGGAAUUACUGGGCGUAAAGAGCGCGUAGGCGGUAUGGUAAGGCUGUCUUAGAAGUGCGGGGCUUAACCCCGUGAGGGGAAAGGGAUUGUCAUACUGGAGUCUCGGAGAUGAAAGCGGAAUUCCUAGUGUAGCGGUGAAAUGCGUAGAGAUUAGGAAGAACACCGGUGGCGAAGGCGGCUUUCUGGACGAGGACUGACGCUGAGGCGCGAAAGCGUGGGGAGCGAACAGG
Molecule: ribosomal RNA, 429 nt
Filed under: Fusobacteriota bacterium
Lineage: Bacteria; Fusobacteriati; Fusobacteriota
Description: Fusobacteria bacterium partial 16S ribosomal RNA
Rfam family: Bacterial small subunit ribosomal RNA
Source: RNAcentral